Molecule: transfer RNA, 75 nt
Filed under: Alphaproteobacteria bacterium
Lineage: Bacteria; Pseudomonadati; Pseudomonadota; Alphaproteobacteria
Description: tRNA-Val
Rfam family: tRNA
About the family: Transfer RNA (tRNA) molecules are approximately 80 nucleotides in length. Their secondary structure includes four short double-helical elements and three loops (D, anti-codon, and T loops).
Source: RNAcentral
GGGCGAUUAGCUCAGCGGUAGAGCAUCCCGUUUACACCGGGCAGGCCGGGAGUUCGAUCCUCUCAUCGCCCACCA